AGGGCACAGAUCCAUAUAUGGCAAUAGUCUUUCUGCAUAAAAGCCUACUGCAGCUCUGAUUGGUUAUGCCACACCGGUUUAUGUAGAGUAUGGCUGAGUCGUGUGGCUGAGUCAUGCAUGUCAAUGAAAUAGAAUCCUACUCCGAUGCGUUCUGCCUACAACAAAAUCUGCAAGCAUAGUUCGUUUUGCAUGGCAUCUUCAGAAAACCAGGGAAAGGAGUCUACUACAUCAGAUUCACCGCCAUGGGUUGAAAGUCUUAUCAGAAAAUUGGUGUGUACUUGACCAAAAAUGGACAGCGACUGCUACACAACGUCCAGGAUAACUUCAAUGGUAGUUACGAGUACAUAUCAGGUGCCAUGAUUCUGCAACUGGAGAAAGAUGAUCAUGUGUACAUGGAGCUUCCCUGGGGGUGUGGGCUGUUCGAUGUCUCGUACAACCACAACAUCUUUAGUAGCUUCUUGCUCUUUCACACCAACCAAGCUAUGGUCCUACACCACUAAAGUCCUUAGGUCCCUCCCGAGCCCUGUACUAAAGUUCACACUCAUAAAGUCCCUAAGUCUUUUCUAGGCAGGAAUAAUUUAUAAUUAGUUGAUACAAUUUUGAACACAAAGCUUAUGUCAAGUUGUGUAAUUAGCUCAUUUAUAAUAGGGUUUCGAUGCAGGACUUGCUUUUGGCAACAUAUGUCAUAAGAAUGCAAUUUCACUGAGAGCCAUGAUUCAACAAUAUUUUUUUCUAUGGGAGUCACAGAGACAACAGGAUAGCAUAUCUGUUAUUUGGGAAACACUUUGUUUGUAGUAGAAUCAAUGGCUCAUAUUUUUUACCUGACGAUUAUAUCUGGUACUAUCCCCAAGGUUUGGAAGGCGACUCAUGUACCUCCCCUCAAAGGAGAUGCCCCUUGCCACCUAAAUAACUAUCAACCUACAGUUGAAGUCAGAAGUUUACAUACACCUUAGCCAAAUACAUUUAAACUCAGUUUUUCACAAUUCCUGACAUUUAAUCCUAGGUAAAAUUCCCUGUCUUACGUUAGUUAGGAUCGCCACUUUAUUUUAAGAAUGUGAAAUGUCAGAAUAAUAGUAGAGAGAAUUAUUUAUUUCAGCUUGUAUUUCUAUCAUCACAUUCCCAGUGGGUGAGAAGUUUACAUAUACUCAGUGAGUAUUUGGUAGCAGUGCCUUUAAAUUGUUUAACUUGGGUCAAAUGUUUCGGGUAGCCUCCCACAAGCUUCCCACAAUAAGUUGGGUGAAUUUUGGCCCAUUCCUCCUGACAGAGCUGGUGUAACUGAGACAGGUUUGUAGGCCUCCUUGCUCGCACAUGCUUUUUCAGUUCUGCCCACACAUUUUCUAUAGGAUUGAGGUCAGGGCUUUGUGAUGG
RNAcentral lists this long non-coding RNA (1368 nucleotides) under Salmo salar (Atlantic salmon). Its description in RNAcentral is "lncRNA (ENSSSAG00000082728.1)". The record is from RNAcentral. Lineage: Eukaryota; Metazoa; Chordata; Actinopteri; Salmoniformes; Salmonidae.